UGAGGACGUAACCAUUGAUUGUCUGGCCAUU
This 31-nucleotide non-coding RNA is filed under the name Rattus norvegicus (Norway rat). The record is from RNAcentral. Lineage: Eukaryota; Metazoa; Chordata; Mammalia; Rodentia; Muridae.